GAUGAACGCUGGCGGCGUGCUUAACACAUGCAAGUCGAACGAAGCACUUUUACAGAUUUAUUCGGAAUGAAGUUUUAGUGACUGAGUGGCGGACGGGCGAGUAACGCGUGGGUAAAUUGCCAUACACAGGGGGAUAACAGUUGGAAAGGGCUGAUAAUACCGCAUAAGCGCACAGUCCCGCAUGGUACAGUGUGAAAAACUCCGGUGGCGUGGGAUGGACCCGCGUCUGAUUAGCUAGUUGGCAGGGCAACGGCCUACCAAGGCGACGAUCAGUAGCCGACCUGAGAGGGUGACCGGCCACAUUGGGACUGAGGCACGGCCCAAACUCCUACGGGAGGCAGCAGUGGGGAAUAUUGCACAAUGGGGGAAACCCUGAUGCAGCGACGCCGCGUGAGCGAAGAAGUAUUUCGGUAUGUAAAGCUCUAUCAGCAGGGAAGAAGAAAUGACGGUACCUGACUAAGAAGCACCGGCUAAAUACGUGCCAGCCGCCGCUGUAA
This 497-nucleotide ribosomal RNA is filed under the name uncultured bacterium. Its description in RNAcentral is "partial 16S ribosomal RNA". It matches the Rfam family "Bacterial small subunit ribosomal RNA", at positions 28 to 523 of the family's 1533-position model. The record is from RNAcentral.